GGAGAAGGAAGGCGCCCGGUGGCGCCGCUGGUCUUCAAAACCAGUCUGGGGGCCGUAAAGGUUCCCGGAGGGUUCGCCUCCCUCCCUUCUCCGCCA
This 96-nucleotide transfer RNA is filed under the name compost metagenome. RNAcentral describes it as "tRNA-Sec". It matches the Rfam family "Selenocysteine transfer RNA". The record is from RNAcentral.